This 254-nucleotide ribosomal RNA is filed under the name uncultured bacterium. Its description in RNAcentral is "partial 16S ribosomal RNA". It matches the Rfam family "Bacterial small subunit ribosomal RNA", at positions 524 to 776 of the family's 1533-position model. The record is from RNAcentral.
UACGUAGGGACCAAGCGUUGUUCGGAUUUACUGGGCGUAAAGGGCGCGUAGGCGGCAAAUUAAGUCAUCUGUGAAAUCUCCGAGCUUAACUCGGAACGGUCAGGUGAUACUGAUCUGCUAGAGUGCGGAAGGGGCAAUCGGAAUUCUUGGUGUAGCGGUGAAAUGCGUAGAUAUCAAGAGGAACACCUGAGGUGAAGACGGGUUGCUGGGCCGACACUGACGCUGACAACGCGAAAGCCAGGGGAGCAAACGGG